GUUCUCUCUCUCGUAAAAAAAAAAACUCUCUCUCUCUCUCUCGUUAUCGCAACUGCGAAAAAAAAACUGAUGAACAAACCUCAGAAACAUCGCGAUUUCCUGAGAUUCCGAUGAGUCGACGCCGGAAUCGUGGUUUGUGAGACUUACCUGCCGCCGGGAUCAUCAGCUGGAUUCACGGUAAAGACCAUCGGCGAAUGGAGUCAAAACAAAUCGAAGAUUGGCGAUGGAGAAGAAGGAUUCGUUGAAGGAUGGUCCAAUUUCUUGUUCCAGGAUUUUUGUUACCAAUGUUGAGAUGGAUCUUUGUGGAGAUAGCUUGAUGCACCUACAGCUAGUAUCCCAUUGGCGCUUCAGAGUUUGUUUUACAAGCUUCAGUGUAACGACAUUGGCGCUGACAAAGUCGUUUGGUUGGGAUACAUAUGAUUCUUUGUUCUCUUUAAUGCUUUGUAUCACUCACUCUCUUAAACACAAGCACAAAAAUAACCUUGCUCUCUCAUCCUCUCAAGUCUUUGGUUAGUUUCUUGUUUUAUCACAAAGAUAUAAACGUUUUAGUUAGAGAGAAGAGAGAAAAUAUUAAUUGUCUACAUUUUGUUUAUUGGAUCACAAGAUAAUUCUUACAA
Long non-coding RNA from Arabidopsis lyrata subsp. lyrata, 617 nucleotides. RefSeq lists it as uncharacterized. The transcript has 2 exons. The record is from RefSeq and is a predicted model, not a curated record. Lineage: Eukaryota; Viridiplantae; Streptophyta; Magnoliopsida; Brassicales; Brassicaceae.